UACAGAGGUCUCAAGCGUUGUUCGGAAUCACUGGGCGUAAAGGGUACGUAGGCUGCCGGAUAAGUCGUGCGUGAAAGGCAGGGGCUCAACCUCUGGAGUGCGCAUGAUACUGUUUGGCUGGAGUGAUGGAGGGGGAACUGGAAUUCUUGGUGUAGCAGUGAAAUGCGUAGAUAUCAAGAAGAAGACUCGUGGCGAAGGCGAGUUCCUGGACAUUCACUGACGCUGAGGUACGAAAGCAUGGGGAGCAAACAGG
RNAcentral lists this ribosomal RNA (253 nucleotides) under uncultured Akkermansia sp. RNAcentral describes it as "partial 16S ribosomal RNA". It matches the Rfam family "Bacterial small subunit ribosomal RNA", at positions 524 to 776 of the family's 1533-position model. Lineage: Bacteria; Pseudomonadati; Verrucomicrobiota; Verrucomicrobiia; Verrucomicrobiales; Akkermansiaceae. The record is from RNAcentral.